Molecule: small nucleolar RNA, 128 nt
Organism: Nannospalax galili (Upper Galilee mountains blind mole rat)
Lineage: Eukaryota; Metazoa; Chordata; Mammalia; Rodentia; Spalacidae
Source: Ensembl
ACCCUUAGGUUCCCUUUCCCAUUGGAUCUCAGUACUGGUCUUCGUGGUUGUAAGGAGGGAGAACAUGCUGAAAAUGGCCUCACAGCCUUGUAGUCUGGUACAAGCAUGUAGGCCUGCAUAAAGGAAAG